AGGGACUUAGGAUUACUUCAAACCAGAGGCCUUCAAAGCCUUUAACAAGAGCAUCAACCUCUUAGUGCCUG
Molecule: transfer RNA, 71 nt
Filed under: Ptyctolaemus gularis
Lineage: Eukaryota; Metazoa; Chordata; Lepidosauria; Squamata; Agamidae
Description: tRNA-Trp
Source: RNAcentral